AGGAGCCUGCAGAGGAAGCCUACGAC
This 26-nucleotide non-coding RNA is filed under the name Rattus norvegicus (Norway rat). The record is from RNAcentral. Lineage: Eukaryota; Metazoa; Chordata; Mammalia; Rodentia; Muridae.